RNAcentral lists this long non-coding RNA (308 nucleotides) under Olea europaea (common olive). RNAcentral's name for it is "long non-coding RNA (OEUR_LNC015662)". Lineage: Eukaryota; Viridiplantae; Streptophyta; Magnoliopsida; Lamiales; Oleaceae. The record is from RNAcentral.
UAGAAUAAAUUUUAGGUAAUUCAAUUUCUUUCAAUUCGUUUUCAUUCCACCCAAAUUUCAUUUUUACAAUCAAACGAACCCUUAACAAAUGUAAUUUCCACGAAGAUAACUAACUAGAAGCCCACUGCCCAGCUGAUGAAGUAAAACCAGUCCGAGUAAUUGUUGGCUAUGGAUCAGUCACGAUUCCGGCCCAGCCAAAUUCAUCGAAUCUCGAAAGUUCUACAUAUUUCUGGGUCCACCGUUUACACCUCUAUUUCCAGACUCAUCUCUCUCCCUCUAUUUCUCGGCGAACAAAAGAAUAAUAAUAU